GUUAGAAUUCUCAAAGACUGUGAUGGUUUACUGCCUAGAAGGUAUACACGAAUUUGAGGAUAACAUAUAAAGCAAGAUAGAAGGGAUGGUAAUUGAGAUGGUGUAACAAUUUUUUUAAGUUUCCUGAUAACUCUUUAGCAAACUUGGCAAAAAGAAAUACGAUCGAUGACUACUUUGAGGACACAUACAUCAGACACCUAAAAUUGACAAGAGCAGAGAGAAGAAUUGCUUUAUCUUUAAAGCAAAGUCAUAUCAAUGUGAAAACUACUGCUAUCCAAGUUAAGUA
Molecule: non-coding RNA, 286 nt
Organism: Heterocephalus glaber (naked mole-rat)
Lineage: Eukaryota; Metazoa; Chordata; Mammalia; Rodentia; Bathyergidae
Source: RefSeq, a predicted model, not a curated record